GAGUAACACGUGAGCAACCUGCCUUUCAGUGGGGGACAACAUUUGGAAACGAAUGCUAAUACCGCAUAAGACCACAGUGUCGCAUGGCACAGGGGUCAAAGGAUUUAUCCGCUGAAAGAUGGGCUCGCGUCCGAUUAGCUAGAUGGUGAGGUAACGGCCCACCAUGGCGACGAUCGGUAGCCGGACUGAGAGGUUGAACGGCCACAUUGGGACUGAGACACGGCCCAGACUCCUACGGGAGGCAGCAUG
This 249-nucleotide ribosomal RNA is filed under the name uncultured bacterium. Its description in RNAcentral is "partial 16S ribosomal RNA". It matches the Rfam family "Bacterial small subunit ribosomal RNA", at positions 108 to 353 of the family's 1533-position model. The record is from RNAcentral.